AGGACGAACGCUGGCGGCGUGCCUAACACAUGCAAGUCGUACGAGGACGGUCCUUCGGGACCGAGCCGAGUGGCGGACGGGUGAGUAACACGUGACCAACCUGCCUUCGAGAGGGGGAUAACCUGGGGAAACCCGGGCUAAUACCGCAUGAGGUGCCGUGGUCGCAUGGCCGUGGCAUUAAAGGGAGGCCUCUACUUGCAAGCUUCCGCUUGAAGAGGGGGGUCGCGACGUAUCAGCUAGUUGGUAGGGUAACGGCCUACCAAGGCUACGACGCGUAGCGGGUCUGAGAGGACGACCCGUCACAUUGGGACUGAGAUACGGCCCAGACUCCUACGGGAGGCAGCAGUGGGGAAUAUUGCGCAAUGGCCGAAAGGCUGACGCAGCGACGCCGCGUGUGGGAGGAAGCCCUCGGGGUGUAAACCACGUGUCGGGGGACGAACCGUCGGCGGGCGAAAUAGCCCGACCGGCUCGACGGUACCCCAAAGGAACGCACCGGCUAACUCCGUGCCAGCAGCGC
Molecule: ribosomal RNA, 517 nt
Filed under: uncultured soil bacterium
Lineage: Bacteria
Description: bacterial SSU rRNA
Rfam family: Bacterial small subunit ribosomal RNA
Source: RNAcentral